UCGAGUGGCGAACGGGUGAGUAACACGUGGGUGAUCUGCCCUGCACUUUGGGAUAAGCCUGGGAAACUGGGUCUAAUACCGAAUAGGACCGCAUGCUGCAUGGUGUGUGGUGGAAAGCUUUUGCGGUGUGGGAUGGGCCCGCGGCCUAUCAGCUUGUUGGUGGGGUAAUGGCCUACCAAGGCGACGACGGGUAGCCGGCCUGAGAGGGUGUCCGGCCACACUGGGACUGAGAUACGGCCCAGACUCCUACGGGAGGCAGCAGUGGGGAAUAUUGCACAAUGGGCGCAAGCCUGAUGCAGCGACGCCGCGUGGGGGAUGACGGCCUUCGGGUUGUAAACCUCUUUCAGUAUCGGCGAAGCUCCAAGGUUUUCUUUGGGGUGACGGUAGGUACAGAAGAAGCACCGGCCAACUACG
RNAcentral lists this ribosomal RNA (414 nucleotides) under Mycobacterium nonchromogenicum. Its description in RNAcentral is "Mycolicibacter nonchromogenicus bacterial SSU rRNA". It matches the Rfam family "Bacterial small subunit ribosomal RNA", at positions 91 to 505 of the family's 1533-position model. Lineage: Bacteria; Bacillati; Actinomycetota; Actinomycetes; Mycobacteriales; Mycobacteriaceae. The record is from RNAcentral.